This 22-nucleotide microRNA is filed under the name Oryza sativa (Asian cultivated rice). RNAcentral's name for it is "osa-miR814b". Its record names the gene osa-miR814a. The record is from miRBase by way of RNAcentral. Lineage: Eukaryota; Viridiplantae; Streptophyta; Magnoliopsida; Poales; Poaceae. RNAcentral also lists the same sequence under 1 other name.
CACUUCAUAGUACAACGAAUCU